AGGUCUUCUUUGGCCUAAAGAGGGUUACAUUUUCCAGCCAAUUCAUCGAAAUUUUGGUGAAGGAAAAGUUAGCCCUCAUCUCUUUGACAUUGCACACGCACGAUGAUUGCAACUCAAACACCCUCCAGAAUUAAAUAAAUGGCUCUUUGAUCCUCUCUCUUCCCUUGUUCCACAAUCAACUCUUGUGCAAAAUAGGGACCUCGCACGUAAGGAAUCAGUUCCAAACCACUACUUCGUUGUCUACAAGCCUUUCACAUUCUCCUAUACAGUUCCUUCUAAGACACUGCACACCAAAGUUUCCCUGUCUAUUCAACAGCUUGCUGUAACACCUUACUCUGCCAGAUUUAUACAAUAUAAUUGUUCUCGAACAACAUUUGGCCUCGCCUAUCGGUGAACCGUUGCAGGCACUAAA
This is a long non-coding RNA of Cryptomeria japonica (Japanese cedar), 412 nucleotides long. RefSeq lists it as uncharacterized. NCBI's taxonomy places the organism in Eukaryota, Viridiplantae, Streptophyta, Pinopsida, Cupressales, Cupressaceae. The transcript is spliced from 4 exons. The record is from RefSeq and is a predicted model, not a curated record.